RNAcentral lists this ribosomal RNA (378 nucleotides) under uncultured bacterium. RNAcentral's name for it is "bacterial SSU rRNA". It matches the Rfam family "Bacterial small subunit ribosomal RNA", at positions 376 to 770 of the family's 1533-position model. The record is from RNAcentral.
CGCAAGCCUGACGGAGCAAGACCGCGUGGGGGAUGACGGCCUAAUGGUUGUAAACCCCUUUUCUCUGGGAAGAAGACUGACGGUACCAGAGGAAUCAGCCUCGGCUAACUCCGUGCCAGCAGCCGCGGUAAUACGGAGGAGGCAAGCGUUAUCCGGAAUUAUUGGGCGUAAAGCGUUCGAAGGCGGAUCAGUUAGUCCGACGUUAAAUACCUGCGGCUCAACCGAGGUUUCGUGUCGGAACUGCUGAACUAGAGGAAGGCAGAGGCAGGUAGAAUUCCCAUUGUAGGGGUAAAAUCCGUAGAUAAUGGGAGGAAUACCAAAAGCGAAGGCAGCCUGCUGGGCCUUACCUGACGCUGGCGAACGAAAGCGUGGGGAGCG